This 468-nucleotide ribosomal RNA is filed under the name uncultured bacterium. RNAcentral describes it as "partial 16S ribosomal RNA". It matches the Rfam family "Bacterial small subunit ribosomal RNA", at positions 28 to 507 of the family's 1533-position model. The record is from RNAcentral.
GACGAACGCUGGCGGCGUGCUUAACACAUGCAAGUCGAACGGAAAGGCCCUGCUUUUGUGGGGUGCUCGAGUGGCGAACGGGUGAGGAACACGUGAGUAACCUGCCCUUGACUUUGGGAUAACUUCAGGAAACUGGGGCUAAUACCGGAUAGGAGCUCCUGCUGCAUGGUGGGGGGGGGAAAUUUUCGGCGGUUGGGGAUGGAUGCGCGGCUUAUCAGCUUGUUGGUGGGGUAGUGGCUUACCAAGGCUUUGACGGGUAGCCGGCCUGAGAGGGUGACCGGCGACCUUGGGACUGAGAGACGGCCCAGACUCCUACGGGAGGCAGCAGUGGGGAAUAUUGCACAAUGGGAGGAAGCCUGAUGCAGCAACGCCGCGUGCGGGAUGCCGGCCUUCGGGUUGUAAACCGCUUUAGCCUGUGACGAAGCGUGAGUGACGGUAAUGGGUAAAGAAGCACCGGCUAACUACGUG